This 62-nucleotide transfer RNA is filed under the name Huia cavitympanum (Sabah huia frog). RNAcentral's name for it is "partial tRNA-Val". The record is from RNAcentral. Lineage: Eukaryota; Metazoa; Chordata; Amphibia; Anura; Ranidae.
AGCUUAACAAAAGCCCCUCGCUUACACCGAGAUUAUAUCUGUUUAACUCAGAUCAUUUUGAG